CAGGCUUUUAACACAAGGUCUUGGUCUUAAACCUCUUGUUAUUUAUACCCCAUAUUUAUACAUGCAAGCCUCAACAUGACAGUGAAAAAGCCCACCUCAACCAACCAAGGAGCUGGUAUCAGGCUAAUAGCCCAUUACACCAAGCAAACAAGCCACACCCCCACGGGCCCGCAGCAGUACUUAAUAUUGGGCCAUAAGCGCAAGCUUGACCCAAUAAUGGGUAUUCUUAGGGUCGGUUAAUCUCGUGCCAGCGACCGCGGUUAUACGACAGACCCAAAAUAACACCACCGGCGUAAAGCACGACUAAAACUCCAAAGUCCUUAUGCUAGGGGUAAAGAUAAGCUAGGCUGUAAAAAGCCAUAAGCAACACUAAAUACACAACCCUAACACCACAAACAACUUUAACUCGUGAAAGCCAGGACACAAACUAAGAUUAGAUACCUUACUAUGCCCGGCCUUAACAAAACAACCAAAAAACCAGUUGUUCGCCAAAUAACUACGAGUAAAAACUUAAAAUUUAAAAGACUUGACGGUACUUCAUACCGACCUAGAGGAGCCUGUCCAAUAACCGAUAAUCCACGAUUAACCCAACCAACUCUAGCCCAACAGUCUAUAUACCGCCGUCGCCAGCUUACCUUGUGAAAGAAACAAAGUAAACCAAAUAAUUUCCCAUUAAUACGACAGGUCGAGGUGUAACUAAUGUGUUGGAACAAGAUGGGCUACAUUUUCUCACCAGAAUAAACGAACAAACUAUGAAACUAGAAAUUGAAGGCGGAUUUAGCAGUAAGCUAGAAAUAAACAUGUCUAACUGAAACUAACGCAAUGAAGUGCGCACACACCGCCCGUCAUCCCUGUAAAACAAACAACAAAUCUAUAAUCAACUAAAUUAACCCUAAAGCAGGGCAAGUCGUAACAUGGUAAGCGUACUGGAAAGUGUGCUUAG
Molecule: non-coding RNA, 943 nt
Filed under: Pseudonaja modesta
Lineage: Eukaryota; Metazoa; Chordata; Lepidosauria; Squamata; Elapidae
Source: RNAcentral